AUUGAACGCUGGCGGCAUGCCUUACACAUGCAAGUCGAACGGCAGCACGGGUGCUUGCACCUGGUGGCGAGUGGCGAACGGGUGAGUAAUACAUCGGAACGUACCUUAUCGUGGGGGAUAACGCAGCGAAAGCUGUGCUAAUACCGCAUACGCCCUGAGGGGGAAAGCGGGGGAUCGCAAGACCUCGCGCGAUUAGAGCGGCCGAUGCCUGAUUAGCUAGUUGGUGGGGUAAAAGCCCACCAAGGCGACGAUCAGUAGCUGGUCUGAGAGGACGAUCAGCCACACAGGGGCUGAGACAAGGCCCAGACUCCUACGGGAGGCAGCAGUGGUGAAUUUUCGCCAAUGGGGGCAACCCUGAUCCAGCAAUGCCGCGUGAGUGAAGAAGGCCUUCGGGUUGUAAAGCUCUUUUGUCAGGGAAGAAACACCGGCUCUAACACAGUCCGGGAAUGACGGUACCUGAAGAAUAAGCACCGGCUAACUACGUGCCAGCCGCCGCAGUAA
This 501-nucleotide ribosomal RNA is filed under the name uncultured bacterium. RNAcentral's name for it is "partial 16S ribosomal RNA". It matches the Rfam family "Bacterial small subunit ribosomal RNA", at positions 29 to 523 of the family's 1533-position model. The record is from RNAcentral.